AGCGCAGGCUGCUAGAUAAGUCAGAUGUGAAAGCCCGGGGCUCAACCCCGGAAGUGCAUUUGAAACUGUUUGGCUUGAGUAUGGUAGAGGGAAGUGGAAUUCCAGGUGUAGCGGUGAAAUGCGUAGAUAUCUGGAGGAACACUGGUGGCGAAGGCGACUUCCUGGAUCAAUACUGACGCUGAGGCUCGAAGGUGUGGGUAGCAAACAGGAUUAGAUACCCUGGUAGUCC
RNAcentral lists this ribosomal RNA (229 nucleotides) under uncultured bacterium. RNAcentral's name for it is "partial 16S ribosomal RNA". It matches the Rfam family "Bacterial small subunit ribosomal RNA", at positions 568 to 796 of the family's 1533-position model. The record is from RNAcentral.